Molecule: ribosomal RNA, 433 nt
Filed under: uncultured bacterium
Lineage: Bacteria
Description: partial 16S ribosomal RNA
Rfam family: Bacterial small subunit ribosomal RNA
Source: RNAcentral
AACGAACGCUGGCGGCAUGCCUAACACAUGCAAGUCGAACGAGACCUUCCGGUCUAGUGGCGCACGGGUGCGUAACGCGUGGGAACCUGCCCUUAGGUUCGGAAUAACUCCCCGAAAGGGGUGCUAAUACCGGAUAAUGUCUUCGGACCAAAGAUUUAUCGCCUUUGGAUGGGCCCGCGUUGGAUUACCUAGUUGGUAGGGUAAAAGCCUACCACGGCGACGAUCCAUAGCUGGUCUGAGAGGAAGAUCAGCCACACUGGUACUGAGACACGGCCCAGAAUCCUACGGGAGGCAGCAGUGGGGAAUAUUGGACAAUGGGCGAAAGCAUGAUGCAGCAAUGCCGCGUGAGUGAUGAAGGCCUUAGGGUUGUAAAGCUCUUUUACCCGGGAUGAUAAUGACAGUACCGGGAGAAUAAGCUCCGGCUAACUCCGUG